GACGAACGCUGGCGGCGUGCUUAACACAUGCAAGUCGAACGGAAAGGCCCUGCUUUUGUGGGGUUCUCGAGUGGCGAACGGGUGAGUAACACGUGAGUAACCUUCCCUUGACUUGGUGAUAACUUCAGGAAACUGGGGCUAAUACCGGAUAGGAGCGCCUGCUGCAUGGUGGGGGUUGGAAAGUUUCGGCGGUUGGGGAUGGACUGGCGGCUUAUCAGCUUGUUGGUGGGGUAGUGGCUUACCAAGGCUUUGACGGGUGGCCCGCCUGGGAGGGUGAACGGCGACCUUGGGACUGAGAGACGGACCAGUCUGCUACGGGAGGCAGCAGUGGGGAAUAUUGCACAAUGGGCGGAAGCCUGAUGCAGAAACGCCGCGUGCGGGAAGACGGCCUUCGGGUUGUAAACCGCUUUAGCCUGUGACGAAGCGUGAGUGACGGUAAUGGGUAAAGAAGCACCGGCUAACUACGUG
This 468-nucleotide ribosomal RNA is filed under the name uncultured bacterium. RNAcentral describes it as "partial 16S ribosomal RNA". It matches the Rfam family "Bacterial small subunit ribosomal RNA", at positions 28 to 507 of the family's 1533-position model. The record is from RNAcentral.